Molecule: non-coding RNA, 86 nt
Organism: Xylaria intraflava
Lineage: Eukaryota; Fungi; Ascomycota; Sordariomycetes; Xylariales; Xylariaceae
Source: the annotation of a GenBank genome assembly
ACCGAAUUGGUGUAGGGGUUAAAAUGCGGGAUUCUCAUGAACGUAUGAGGUUUCCUGAGCCAGGAGUUCGAGUCUCCUAUUCGGUG